GGUGAGAUGGCCGAGUUGGUCUAUGGCGCCAGGUUAAGGCUACCUUAACGCAAUUUCCUGGUGGAGAAAUCCGCGUGGGUUCGAAUCCCACUCUCAUCA
Molecule: non-coding RNA, 99 nt
Organism: Xylariomycetidae sp. FL0641
Lineage: Eukaryota; Fungi; Ascomycota; Sordariomycetes
Source: the annotation of a GenBank genome assembly